CCUGCCCAAUGCAACUAGAGUAAUGUUUGUUGUAAACGGCGGCGUUAACGUGAGCGUCCUAAGGUAGCGCGAUAAUUUGCUUUUCAAUUGAAGGAUGGUAUGAAAGGGUUAACGAAGAAGAUGCUGUGUCUAAAAAUUUAAUUUAAACUAACUUUAAGGUGAAGAGGCCUUUAUGUAAAAGAAGGACGACAAGACCCUAUGAAGCUUUAUCUUAAUUGGAGCUUUCAGGCUUUUAUACGAUUUUGAUGGGAGAUCAGUAGAAAUAAGUCUUUUACUAUAAUAUUAAUCUUACUAGAAUUUCCUAACUUUAUAUGUGUGGCUAGCUACUCUAGGGAUAACAGCGCAAUUUCCCCCGAAAGAUGGUAUUGGAGGGGAAGAUUGCGACCUCGAUGUUGGCUUUAGAUGCCCUAGAGGCGUAGAAGCUUCUGAUGGUAGGUCUGUUCGCCCUUUAAAAUCUA
This 458-nucleotide ribosomal RNA is filed under the name Mytilus chilensis. RNAcentral describes it as "partial 16S ribosomal RNA". It matches the Rfam family "Bacterial large subunit ribosomal RNA", at positions 1858 to 2597 of the family's 2925-position model. The record is from RNAcentral. Lineage: Eukaryota; Metazoa; Mollusca; Bivalvia; Mytilida; Mytilidae.